This 468-nucleotide ribosomal RNA is filed under the name uncultured bacterium. RNAcentral's name for it is "partial 16S ribosomal RNA". It matches the Rfam family "Bacterial small subunit ribosomal RNA", at positions 28 to 507 of the family's 1533-position model. The record is from RNAcentral.
GACGAACGCUGGCGGCGUGCUUAACACAUGCAAGUCGAACGGAAAGGCCCUGCUUUUGUGGGGUGCUCGAGUGGCGAACGGGUGAGUAACACGUGAGUAACCUGCCCUUGACUUUGGGAUAACUUCAGGAAACUGGGGCUAAUACCGGAUAGGAGCUCCUGCUGCAUGGUGGGGGUUGGAAAGUUUCGGCGGUUGGGGAUGGACUCGCGGGUUAUCAGCUUGUUGGUGGGGUAGUGGCUUACCAAGGCUUUGACGGGUAGCCGGCCUGAGAGGGGGACCGGCCCCAUUGGGACUGAGAUACGGCCCAGACGCCUACGGGAGGCAGCAGUGGGGAAUAUUGCACAAUGGGCGGAAGCCUGAUACAGCAACGCCGCGUGCGGGAUGACGGCCUUCGGGUUGUAAACCGCUUUCGCCUGUGACGAAGCGGGAGUGACGGUAAUGAGUAAAGAAGCACCGGCUAACUACGUG